AUCCAGCCGACAAGUCCCAAACAGGACGAAAUGCGUGUUCUGGAU
RNAcentral lists this non-coding RNA (45 nucleotides) under Schistosoma bovis. RNAcentral also lists the same sequence under 1 other name. The record is from RNAcentral. Lineage: Eukaryota; Metazoa; Platyhelminthes; Trematoda; Strigeidida; Schistosomatidae.